GAAUUGAUGUCAAUUUUGAUACAAGUGUCAUCUUCAUAUGCAUUAUAUUCUUUGAAUUAUUAUCAACAAAUUUAGCAUUGGACUAAUAUUUUAAAGCUUAUCGCAUGCGCAUGUUUGGAUAAUUCAGUGCCAAAUUGAUGUGUCCUUAAAAUUCGGCUAUAACAGAAAUUGCUCUAAUCCUAACUGUAUGCAGUGAACUCUCGUUGCACUUAAUCACAUUACCAAUAAUUCCCGUGACUUGAUUGACAUCUGGAGAAAACAAUAAGGACCAAGUUUUAUUUUUUACAGUAAAAUCCGGAUUUGUCAGCAAAGGAAAAACCAUGGGUAUAAUCCUAGGAAUAUUUAAUCCUGAAUUAUCAGACUUCCAGAAGAAGAAAUUGAAGCAUGAAUUCCACGUCUUCUUUGGUAUGUCUUAUUUACAAUUCUAACGAUAACGCACUAUUUAAUGCAUUACUGCCUACUAAAAGUGCACUUACUUGUAUGUGCAUGCGCAAGCAAGGUGAUCUGCAUGUUUGAUAGAACGUCGUGCAAAACAUCACAUCAUCUUUAAGCUGUUCUAGUUUACUAUUGUUCUAAAUAGACUCUGUAGUUAUAAUUAAAAAAAAUGUACAACGCAAUAUCUUAAAUAAACUCAUCAUAGAUAUACCAGGACUCAAUGCAGUAUAUAUGCCAGACGCGCGUUUCGUCCACAAAAGACUCAUCAGUGACGCUCGAAUCCAAAAAAGUUAAAAAGGCCAAAUAAAGUACGAAGUUGAAGAGCAUUGAGGACCAAC
Molecule: long non-coding RNA, 773 nt
Filed under: Mytilus galloprovincialis (Mediterranean mussel)
Lineage: Eukaryota; Metazoa; Mollusca; Bivalvia; Mytilida; Mytilidae
Source: RNAcentral